This is a non-coding RNA of Coturnix japonica (Japanese quail), 6157 nucleotides long. Lineage: Eukaryota; Metazoa; Chordata; Aves; Galliformes; Phasianidae. The record is from RefSeq and is a predicted model, not a curated record.
GCCAUGGGGCCAGGCAGGAUUCCAGCACAGCAGUGGUGCAGGCACCCAGCUGGCACCCCAUCCACCUGAGGUGUCGGGUAUUCUCCUGAGCUACCUGCUUCACACUCAGGAGAGAGGUAUAAUGUCAAGUGAAUUAAAGAAGAUGAAUGACUUGAUGGAUUCAAGGGAGCAAUCACAGUCUUCAGGACAUAAAGAGAUGGCGGCAGUUUGUGGAAUGAGGAUGGAUGGCAGAAAGGGGGGAAGAACACCAGCUCCCCAGUAUGAAUACUCGGGAAAUAAAAGAAAAGAACUGACACAACAUAGACGAGGAUGCAAAGUGCAGCUGUGUGCCCCAUCCCCUCCUGUACCAUCUGCACAGCCCUGGACCCAGCACCAGCCCCCGUGGUGCUCUGAAAUGCAGAAAUCGAAUCCCCUGGUGAAACAUUUCCACACUCACUAAUGAGAUCGCCUGCUAGGAGAGAUGGCGUCACUCGGAGCUCAGGCGUGAGCUGCAGCACUUAAUUGCUUAGUAACAGCCCAGUGCACUUUUGCAAGUUCCAGCACCAGGCAGUGUUUAUGGGGUUUAAAAUCCAUACAUCAUGCAUACAGGAAAAAAAACAGCGGCGUCUGUACCAGCUGUAAUCACCGAGAUGAACACAAAAACAAAAUCUCCUCCCCAGCUGCAAUUCGUGGGCACUCUGAAGAAAAACAAGCACUAACUCCCAUUGUAAGUUGCCCAGCAGAAACAGAAGAAAAUAACAUAUCAGCCUGUAAAUGCUUUUUACAGAUUUUGUUGCGUAGUUUCUGUUUACAGCAAAUUCCAGCAGACGUAAAGUCUCCCCUACACAACUGGUGCUCAGAGCUGAGGUGGGGGAUUGCACAUGGUGUGCUGGUAGAGCUGUGCCAGACAUGUACUUCUACCUACAGUAUGAGUAGAUUCACUUAAAACACGCAGCUCCGUGACCCCACUUACAACAAGAGUGAAUUCUUGGAAGACUGCACAUGCACUAAAUGGGCAAUGCACAUGGCAACAGCACUCGCAAUAGGUCCAGCAGGCUGAGACCAGCCUGCUUGUAUCACUAAUUCUUUAAAAUAGCCGGGUCAGAGGAACUUAAUUCAACCACAAUUGUGUUGUGUGUGAACAACCUCACACAUAAAUGUAAAUUAACUCCAUUUUGCAAGACAUGGCCUUUGGUUUUUGUUCAGUGACAUCUGUUACAUGAUGACGUUUGAAACCAAUAACACAGGCUGUGGGGUGAGGUUAUGCCAUCCCUGUCCCCUUUAGGGUUACCCCAAUGGUUGUGUAAUAUCUUCUGUUCAUCUCUGAUCCCUACUACCAGCUUUUGACCUCAGUUUUUCCAAUCUGCCAUUAAGCUUCCUCGUUCUGAAAGCAGAUUAAGGAUUUCAAUCACUAAAAUAAAACAAACAUCAAACAGCCAUCAACUGGCCCAACACACAACACAGCCACAAUAUUUGUUCAGGUGUAAGAAAGUACCCAUGCCCUCUUCCCUAUUUCUUUUCAAAUUCAACCAAGCACUACAUAUAAAUACAACUAAUGUUCCCUCUCUUCUACCCCCAUCAGAUCCUCAGAACUCUGCCCAACAUUGCCUUUAUUCCACCUCCUCUAAGAGAUGCACAAAGUGAUGCUGUGAGUGCUAUUAACAAUUUGCAUUGAGGAGCACAUGGAAAUCACCAGUGUUAUUCUGUGGUCCUCGUAAUCGAAGGCACAUUUCACACAGAAGGUGGUCCCUCCUUCACUGCUGCAGUUCUGUUGCUGCUAAUGCCAACAAAAAGAGGAAAAAACCCGCAGACAGACCUAUGCUCUUUUUACUGUUUCUUCCAGUUAAUUCUGACAGGCUUUUUUUUUCCAUCUUCUCCUAAUUCAGCAUUAAAUAGUGAUAAAAACACAUAUGAUGCAUCACGUACGAUGCCAAUGAUUCACAACCUUGGCUUACAAGCUUUUACAAAGAAAAAGUGCUAUAAAUCCUUCAAAACAAGGGAAGAAAGCAAUUCAUAUUCUCACGACCUCUUCUGACUCCACUUUCAACAAUCAUCCCUGGCAGUUCCUCCAGCUCCCUCCAAAUUGCACAGUUGGAAAGUAACAUCCAGCGAGUGCCCGUCUGCUGUGAGCUGCUCUAAUUACUGCAAAUUCCUUUUUGAGCCACAUCCAACAAAACACUUUCAACGUUUGCUAAACUUCAGCAUGCACAGCCUCCUACUGCGAGGAACCUGCUUCAGCUGGGGGGUGGACUCUGCUCUCCACAGGUCCUUCCUAAGCCCUAUGGUUCUGAGACUGGGUGAAUAGUCCCAUUGAAGGACACACAGCUCUCCACAUGUUAAGCUGGAGGCACCUCAGAUACAUCGAGGAGAACUUGAUCAAAACCAGGGCUCCUUCAGGUUAGCCUGUCUUAAACCAGCACUAAAUUCAUAUGCUCUUUAAGUUCUUUCAUGCAUUCCCUUCCUAUCCAUGUGUACAAUACAGUGCUUUCAGCCUCUCCUCCUCUAUAGCUGUUAUUUCACCCCAAUAAUCUUUUAUUCACCUAAAUAAUCAUGUUUCUUUUCUCAUACCCAUCUUUUCUUUGCUGUGAGCUCACAAAAAGCAGUCAUCUUUGACAGCACAAAGCCCUGAGAAGGUCUGAACCCCAUGAUUUAAAUUAACUUCAUCUUCCAAAUCUCUCUUCAUGACAACCCCAGCUGCUGCACAGCUUGGUGUUUGCAUGCUUUAAUGUUUUCAUGCUCUCUCAAGACACUUUGGCAAGAAUUAGCAGACCAGAAACAAGCACCUUGAGGAACAGGGGAGGCCACAGGACACCAGGGGACACAGAGAUGAAAUACACCACCUGAGGAAGUGUAGAUACACCAGAGGAAGCAUAAGAUGAAAUGUCAACACUGACAUCUGCUGAUGGUUUAGGAGGCUUGUGGAAAAAGGAAAACAAGGCAGCCAUGCAGCUAAGGGCAGCACACAGCCCAGGAGCCAGCACAGCCGUGCAGGAAGACAAAAGCCAUGCACACAUGGAUUGUCACAGCAAUGCUCUUGCCAGGUUAGGACAGGAGAUGAUGCUGCUGCAACUGAACACGGAUGUGUAACCUAAUGAAUGUUACAUGAAGGGCAACCAAGCACUACAUGGAACAGUUCUCUUCUGGUUUAAACAAGCUGCUCUCAGGCCUUUCCUCAGCUUUUCUGCACCUGAAGCAAAUACGCAUCUUAUCUCAAAUACAUUUCCUCCAGCCAAUUUGGAUGGUUUUAAAACAUUAACUUGCUUGUAUCAGAAAAGGACAGAGGAGAUACUGCUGGAAGCAACGAAUGAGUGGGAAGUGCAACCAGACGAGCUGCAAAUCGAUGCUAUUUGUGGGAGCAGUGCCAGCAGAUGAACGUGGUACACCAUGUACUCUCAAAAGUUGUUCUAACAACCACUUUCUGCAAUCCUUUGUGUGCCAAAUUAACCCUGCGACUGAGGACAUCCAGCACUUACACUAUGCAGAAAGAGGAAUCCAAACCUCUCUUCCAUUUAUACGUAUGUUCACAUAUAGGACUUAGACACACACAGAGAUAUACAAAGAAGACAUAUACACUUUAGCAUAUGUGUAUCCAUGUAUGUAAAAACAAAGACUAAGCUUCCUACCUUUUGUAAUUAAGGCAGUGGAAGUCACGUUACUGCUUCUCCAGAGAGAACCGAGCCUGCAUAUAGCAGCAGUGCAGUGACAGUGCAGUUACACUGCUGAAUGUAAUUAAGGGAGAGAAAAAAGAAGGGGUAUAGCUGGGGAAGGGAACUGGUAGCAAACCUCUCUGUGUAUCUGAGCUUCACUUCCAUCUACAUCUGGCUGUAGAAAAGAUGGGAGCUCAUACACACGUGUUCCACUCCCCUAAACCAACAAAAAGUCCACAAAUACACUAAAUGCUGCCCGGAGCACUUCUCUUCCCAUCCAUCCUCCCUGCAAAAAAUCAGCAGCUAUUAAAUGUUUGCUGUCUGUGUUUCUUGCAGCCAGUUAAUAGACUGCUGAACUGCAUCACAACCAUUUCCAGCUAUGGUCUCCCACUUGCAUCAGCUGUCAGAACUUGAAUCAAAUCAAGAUAAAAUACGAGUUGCAGAGAAAGAAUAAAUUGUGGCAGGUGUGAGAACUGAUGGUGGGUCAACAUCAUGAGGAAGCCCCUGGAAAAGCAAGGUCCAGCCGGCUCAGAGCAAUGACUUCCCUUCAGCCAAGAACAUCCCUAAAGCAGGUCUGGAAAUCAGGACGCUGAGCUUCUAAUUUCAGUCUGACACUACUUCAGCUGUGUGAGUGUGAGCUCAUUCCUCAGAGCUUCCAUGUCUCAUUUCUCCACCAGUAAAUGCUGCUAUCUUUGUUUGUCUUUACAACUUCACACCGAAGAUACUAGGCAAAAAAUAAUUUUAGUAACAUAUUACCAAGACAGGCGGUGCAAGAGAUGGCAAGAGAACACCUCCUUCCAGAACCACGUGCUCCAGCUCAAUACCAAGUGACUUCUGGACCUCAUCCGCCUCCAGUUUCCACAGAUACAAGCUGUGCACAGAGCGCCUGAGGUGCCAUUAAUCCUGAAUUAACCUCUCAUUUUUCAGUGCCUUAAAGCUUAGGAACUGUAAAAUUCAUGCUCUGAAUAUGACCACAUGCAAGUAAUAAGGAAAAAAAUCUCAUACUCAAAAAUUGCCAGUGGAACCAGCCCUAACAGAGAGGAACGUGCCCAGUUUUAGAGCUGUGGCUGAGGGUAAAAUGCUAUUUAGUGAGCAGGCAGUGAAUGACAGCAUUAAUACUGAUAAGGAAUAAAAGCCUGACAAGUGUAAUCCUGAUACCAGCGUUCCCUUUGAGGAUUACUCAGCAAUUAAACAUUUCUAACAGUGGUACAUUUCAAAAGGACAGUGCUGCAAAUCCCUGAGGAAAUCAGAAGCCAUUUACAGAUUAUCUUGGGUUUUAACUUUUCAGAGAGAAAAAAGGCCGUGCACACUGAGCUCUGUUAACAUCAAUGAGAUGAACAGCUUCUAAAAACACUUGGAACAAGCCAUUAUUUCUAGAGCGCAGCACACGAUUUCCUGCACAGCAGAACUGGUGUGCUAUGCUGCAGCACUAGCAGUGCAUCUUCCUGUGCUGCCCUGCCCCCCAAACUGACAGACCUCAGGAACAGAUGCCACUGAGUCAGUAGAGGGAACAAAACAGUUCGAGCCACAAGUUAAUCCUUGGGAGUGCUCACACAUGUUUGAAAAUUAACAUCUUGUCUGAAACCCUUCAUGUUUCAGGACCUCACUUCUGAAAGCAGAAAUGACAGAUACUCACUUCCCAUGCAUAUGACACACAGCACUUAAAAGAUCAGAGAUAAAGGUAAACAAAAAUACAUCGAUUACAAGUCUUGUAUCUUUAGUUAGAGCUCAAGGCUCAGUGUGACAUGGUGGUGUUGGAGAGGUUUAGGAGAUGCACACACCACAGGCUGCCCAUACUACCAAUACCAAGGACUGAUUUGAUUCCUGGAAGGACCCAGGCCCUCCCAGUAACUUCAUUUUGUGGAAAACAAACAGAAGAAAACAACAGAAAAACCUUCAGCACGUUUUUAAAGGCUUGUAACAGAUCUUGCAGAACGGGAUAAACAAAUCUUUUAAAAAGGAAAAAUGUCAUUUUACUAAUGCCCUCUGCAAAGAAUGACUACAUUAAUCUUGGCAAUCUUUACAAAUCCACCCCCAUGUUUUCAAAAGACAGACAGAGCAUUGAGAUUCGUUCAACAAAUGGCAGCAUGAGUCAGUGGGCCUAGGAACCACGGGUAGGAAGGAGUAGGUGACGUCCAUGGAGUCACAGAAGUUGUCAUAGAAGUCUUCAAAUGACUCAUGUCAUAACACAGGUCCAGAGUAGCUCAGACAUAAGUUGUAUGAUAUUUAUGCAUCUGUGCCUGCAAAGGCACCCACAAACACAGCCAUUAGGGCAGAUAUGUGCAUGGAAUCAACCUCUCUUAGCAGAUAGCUGAGCCACUAUGAAACCUUGUGCUGAAGGCGGCACCCCUCUCUAAAACAAGUCUAAUAAUCCCAUCCACAUCUCAUCAUAUGAAUUUCCAGAUAGAAGCAACUUCUCAUCUUCUCAGCUUAUGCAAAGUCUACCAUCUGAUGAGAGCAAGAGUGUUUGUUUUGUGUGGGGCAAUACCAAUUUCUCAGCUGAGCCAUUCAUUCUCCAAAACUCUUACCAC